UGGCUUUCCGCUCCCUCGCUCUGGAGCAGCGGUCUUGAACUCAACUGUUAGCGUCAGGGUGUCAACCUCCGGCGAGGCUUUUUGCAAACUCUAAGGAUCUGUAGCCGCCAUCAUUCACUCUAUACGCAUCUAUCCAGCAGCCGUGCGCAGUGUCGCGUAAUGUCGCGUCGCGGGUUCAGAUCUCAGCGCGGCGCUUUCCGGUUGUUCCGCUCCACCGCCGCGUGUCGUCUCUGAGUUUGUUACGUGCUCUGUGAAGUGGGGUCGAGCCGCCCCGAGCCCCGGGCCCCGGCUGUGGCUGUUUGGUGCGCCUUCCCAGAGGGCGCGCGGGGAGGGGGGUCAUUUACAAACUGUGAAAGCACCCGAUCGUUUGAACGCCUGGUGACUUUCAACAAAUGAACGUGUAGGAGCAACUCUCCCUCCAGUCCACACACAGUGUCCAGCGCCCGCGGUUCGCUCCUUCCCGGCGAGGGCGCCCCGGCAGCCCGGCCCCAGGCGUGCGUCCUGCGUUGGCCUGGCCGAAAGGUCCCACGUCCCGACCUACUAAGCUUGCUUCCAGGGCGGCGUGGUAAUGCCAGGCAAGGUGGCCUCUCGCAGCCUGCGCGGAAUGAGGGCGCUGGGUGCCGCAAGUGCCUGCCAGUCGGUGGAAACAUCCAUUUCAGUCGCGGAGAGCGCCAGUCUUUGCGCACCCCAAGAGAAUGUCGGAGACAUGUACAAAUACAGGGGCUCCCCUUUCCUGUGCUUUCUGCAGAUUUUGUCCCAUUUCUUAUCUUUUGUUGUUGGGUUGUUUUAAGGGCACUCACGACAGCCACAGGUUGUCUUCGGUUGUUUUUGCAGGUAGUUAUUAAUCUACCUUUUCCCGGGUGUUGAUAGCCUUGCAAAGAUGACAGGAAAGUGCAGGAGGCUAUUUCAUCCUGACCCACAUCUCUCGUAGGAAUUUUGUUCUUCUUUCUCAGGAAUUUUACCUUUAUAAAAGCAACUAGUUUUGAGUAGUAAGUAAAGAAUGAAAAUCAGGCCUAUUUUCUUGCUUUACUUUUAUCUGGAAAAAAAAUCCUCUAUACAUUUUUAAAGGCUUUAUCAAAGUGAAAUUGAAAAAUGUACUAAGGAUAUUUGGUUCAGUCUUCUCUGUCGGCUCUAAUGAUACAGAGUGCCAUGCUAAAUUUUACUUUGGAAGUAGGCUAGGAAAUUAAAAAGGGAAAUAAAUCAAAAGUUCAUAAAUAUGAUUUUUUUAUAAAAAGCUUUGGUUUGGAAAAUACAUGGUGAUCAUGAUUUGUGUUUUCUCCAUUUUAAAACAAUUCUUUGAAUUUGUUCCUAAUUGUUUUUGAUUUUGAUUUUGUGGCUUUUUGGUUUUGUGGUUAUAUACCUAUCUCAUAGAUUACUCAAUGAUGAUCAGAGCAUACUUACUUUCUCAGUUUUUGAAUUUAAAAUACCAGUUAUAGAUCAUACAUAGCUCUCUAAGUCUCCUAAUAAUUCUUUUUAUGACUAUUACUAUUUUUUUACUAUUUUACAUUCAUUAAGACCAUAGUUUCAGUUACAAUUAAUGAAUAUUCCUAAAUGCAAAGGAAAAACAUUGUUUUUGGAGAUGGUGAGGUGUUUUCUUGUUUGUUUGGUUGGUUUGGUUUGGUGGUGCUAGGGGAUUGAACUCGGGGUCUUGUGCAUGUGAGGCAAGCACUCUACCAACUGAGAUUUAUCCCCAGUGCAGAGACAAUGUUUUAAUCAUACAUUCUUUCAUUCUGGUCUGGGGAGGAAGAGGGAUGAACUCUACUCCUUGUUUCAAUCACUGUUCAUGAAAAGGACUCUGCUCUAAAAAAGAAAAUUUGUAAGAGCAGUUUUAAGGCUUUUCUCCCCCUCCCAUCCCACUCCGUUCAACCCAGAGUAUAGCUUCCUUAAUUCAUCCCAGAUGUGCCCUAUGCCAGGCUGGAGAUGUGGCUGUGCCUGUGAAGGAAGUGGCACACGCUUGUUCCUGUGGAAGUUUCAUUCCAGCAGGAAGAGACAGGAACACAAAUGGGUAAAUCCUCAAACCGUCAGGUAAUGUGAUAAACCCCCAAUGAUCUCCUGAUGGGAUUAUUAGAGGGUCUAUGGAUGGUGACAUUUAUGCCGGGACCAGAAUGAGAAGUUUUGGGAAAAUGAUGAUCCCAGAUAGGAUUGAUCUUGACCUUGGCUCUACUUCAACCACAACAGGGCUCCUUCCUGUCCAUCAAAUAUACUGAGCUAGUAUUUUCUCCAGAGCAUGUCACAACAGCUCAAUCCUUGUCUCCAGUGUUUAUCCUAUUGGCAUCAGAUCAAUAUUGGCAUCAGAUUCUCCAUUUUAGUUAGGAGCCAUUUUAUCUAGAGGUUCCAAAGUUUUGAUUUUGAGGCAAUUCUGCUUUACUUCUCAUAAGAACAUGUGCCUGCUAAAAAACCAUCAACCCCACCGCAGCUUAGACUCCUAAGCAGUUUAUGAGAUUCCUCUUGUGGGUUACAAAGCUGCUCUGUGAGUGCCUACAGGUUACUACUCUCCUCAGAGGGACAGCCUUAUUGGUAUGCCUUCUGUUACUGACAAUAAAUCUCUUGUGUGACGUUCUGGUGUGUGGCGUGAUCCUUGGAUUUCAUGUGGACUCUGCAAAUGUCUUUUAAGAUCCAAUAAUGAGGACAAGGGUUUGAGAAAAAGGAAAAAGAAGUUUUAUUGAUUUACUAGCAAAUGAG
Molecule: long non-coding RNA, 2682 nt
Filed under: Marmota monax (woodchuck)
Lineage: Eukaryota; Metazoa; Chordata; Mammalia; Rodentia; Sciuridae
Source: RNAcentral